AGAGUUUGAUCAUGGCUCAGAACGAACGCUGGCGGCAGGCCUAACACAUGCAAGUCGAGCGCACUCUUCGGAGUGAGCGGCGGACGGGUUAGUAACGCGUGGGAACGUACCCAGAUCUACGGAAUAGCCUCGGGAAACUGAGAGUAAUACCGUAUACGCCCUUCGGGGGAAAGAUUUAUCGGAUUUGGAUCGGCCCGCGUUAGAUUAGAUAGUUGGUGAGGUAACGGCUCACCAAGUCUACGAUCUAUAGCUGGUUUUAGAGGAUGAUCAGCAACACUGGGACUGAGACACGGCCCAGACUCCUACGGGAGGCAGCAGUGGGGAAUCUUGGACAAUGGGCGCAAGCCUGAUCCAGCCAUGCCGCGUGAGUGAUGAAGGCCUUAGGGUCGUAAAGCUCUUUCGCCAGAGAUGAUAAUGACAGUAUCUGGUAAAGAAACCCCGGCUAACUCCGUGCCAGCAGCCGCGGUAAUACGGAGGGGGUUAGCGUUGUUCGGAAUUACUGGGCGUAAAGCGCGCGUAGGCGGACCAGAAAGUUAGGGGUGAAAUCCCGGGGCUCAACCCCGGAACUGCCUCUAAAACUCCUGAUCUAGAGUUCGAGAGAGGUGAGUGGAAUUCCGAGUGUAGAGGUGAAAUUCGUAGAUAUUCGGAGGAACACCAGUGGC
This 662-nucleotide ribosomal RNA is filed under the name uncultured bacterium. RNAcentral's name for it is "bacterial SSU rRNA". It matches the Rfam family "Bacterial small subunit ribosomal RNA", at positions 8 to 716 of the family's 1533-position model. The record is from RNAcentral.